ACUCCUACGGGAGGCAGCAGUGGGGAAUAUUGCACAAUGGGCGCAAGCCUGAUGCAGCCAUGCCGCGUGUAUGAAGAAGGCCUUCGGGUUGUAAAGUACUUUCAGCAGUGAGGAAGGUGGAGUCGUUAAUAGCGGCCUCAUUUGACGUUAGCUGCAGAAGAAGCACCGGCUAACUCCGUGCCAGCAGCCGCGGUAAUACGGAGGGUGCGAGCGUUAAUCGGAAUUACUGGGCGUAAAGCGCAUGCAGGUGGUUUGUUAAGUCAGAUGUGAAAGCCCGGGGCUCAACCUCGGAAUUGCAUUUGAAACUGGCAGACUAGAGUACUGUAGAGGGGGGUAGAAUUUCAGGUGUAGCGGUGAAAUGCGUAGAGAUCUGAAGGAUACCGGUGGCGAAGGCGGCCCCCUGGACAGAUACUGACACUCAGAUGCGAAAGCGUGGGGAGCAAACAGGAUUAGAUACCCUGGUAGGAUAGCG
RNAcentral lists this ribosomal RNA (472 nucleotides) under uncultured bacterium. RNAcentral describes it as "bacterial SSU rRNA". It matches the Rfam family "Bacterial small subunit ribosomal RNA", at positions 335 to 799 of the family's 1533-position model. The record is from RNAcentral.